UACGGAAGGUGCGAGCGUUAAUCGGAAUUACUGGGCGUAAAGCGCACGUAGGUGGUUUUAUAAGUCGGAUGUGAAAGCCCCGGGCUUAACCUGGGAAUUGCAUCUGAUACUGUCUGACUAGAGUAUGCUAGAGGGAAGUGGAAUUCCAGGUGUAGCGGUGAAAUGCGUAGAUAUCUGGAGGAACACCAAUGGCGAAGGCAACUUCCUGGGGCAAUACUGACACUGAUGUGCGAAAGCGUGGGGAGCGAACGGG
RNAcentral lists this ribosomal RNA (253 nucleotides) under uncultured bacterium. Its description in RNAcentral is "partial 16S ribosomal RNA". It matches the Rfam family "Bacterial small subunit ribosomal RNA", at positions 524 to 776 of the family's 1533-position model. The record is from RNAcentral.